Molecule: long non-coding RNA, 4954 nt
Organism: Gavialis gangeticus (Gharial)
Lineage: Eukaryota; Metazoa; Chordata; Crocodylia; Gavialidae
Exons: 2
Source: RefSeq, a predicted model, not a curated record
CAUCCUGUCUGUAGUGGGGGGCCCAAAACUGGACACAGGCCUCCAGAUGUGGCCUCACCAGUGCUAAAUAGAGAGGGGCAAAGUGAACUUUACAACCUGGCACCUGACUUAUAUGACUCCAUAACCCUAUGUUAGCUGCCAUCUCUCUACCAGAAAGAAAGUGCAGAGGGUUUGGGGAUCCCAGCAAAGAACAAAGGAAAUGAAGGGAACCAGACCAUCAUCUACAAUGACAGCCCCUCUGUUUAAUCUGCAUCAUCGCAACAUAGGUUUUGUUUUGCUCUUGUGUGCAUCGAGUAAAAUAUAAAACACAAAAACUGCUUGAUACUUGAGCUCUCACACCCUUUGCUGCCUCAAGUAGGGCUCCUCAUUAAUGCUAUGCCCCUCACUUCUCUUUUUUUUUAUAGUGGCUACACAAGUGAAGAUAGUUCAAAGCCAUACCCCAGGCUGCAUCCUGCUAAAGGAAGUUGCAGCCUAACCAGCUCAUGAUUUAAUGUCUAGGGAGCUGAUUAGAACAGAAUCAAAAUGCCACAGUGGCUUCUUUCUUAGGGCAGCCUGUUGGGUUUAAGUGAUGUUUUUAAUAUACUAUUUUACUGCUUUAUUCAGUGGAGGGAGGGGGAGUUGAUCCUAUGCUUUGCCUACUUCCUUAAUAAAGAGAGAAGGUGCUUCUUUUGCAGUCCUAAAAAUCUUGACUACAAGUAAACAGACAUCUUACAUGUUUUUUAGGUAACUGAAAAGUGAAUAAGUACUUAAUGAUAUUUUUAAGGGCUGUUUUUCCUGUCUGACUGGAUACUGCCAUUCCAUAAAUUGCUAGACACCUCAGGACUCAGCUUUGAGCUGGCCUUCUGCUACUGCUGUUUGCACAUCACCAGCUCCUCAUCUCUUCUCUUGAUGACCGUCUCCGACUUCCACUGUGUUUUGUGUUGUUAAAUUUCCCAUUCACUAAUGUUUCAGCACUGAAGUCUAGAAAACCUGGUUGCACUUGGUCUGAUUUCUCCUAGGAAGGCUAUUGCUGUUCAUUAGGGCUGGACAAAUGUUUGUCCAAACUUUCUAUUUUCAUUGAACAGCGAGGGGAAAAAUGUUGAUAAUGUUUUUUAAUCAAACAAGGAGAAAAAUGACAAAAUAGCUGUUUUUUUCUUUCUCUUGGUCUCUGACAUGUGUUGUGUCCAGCCUUUGCCAUUUCACACAUUUAAAGACCAGAUCUAAAAGCCAGCCCUCAUCCUGUUCUACUGUUAUAGUCCCCCACCACUGUCCCCCACCCAUUUCCUGCUUCUAGGCACAUGAGGUUUUGCUCUGUUCAGGGAUUUUCAGAAAAGCAGCGGGUCAUGGGUAGGUGUCUGAAAUAACCCACAGCUUUCUGGAUCCCAAGAGAACCCAACAAGCCAAGGUAAUGCACCUCAUUUACUGUAUAUGUGCAAUGCCCUUUUUGAAAUGUUUCCUUCGGUCUUGUGCCAGCAUUGACAUCCUUAUUAUUAUUCCUAUCAGGGCAGUGACCAGAGCCUCCAGGAAAAAAAGUCCAGGUGAGGACAUGUGAAAAAAAUAGUACGGGCUUGGGUACAUGAACAAAUUAUCAUGAAGCCAAAGACAAUGGGGCUUUACCAAGCAUCAGCUGCUCUGUGCUAAUGACCUGAAUGCUUGUUUUUACCUUGUGGUAAGUGCAGCUUAAAAAGGACUAAGUUACAAUGGGUAUGGUACUAUGGUGUAAGAGUAGUUACCGUGGGUGUGGUACUAUGGAGUAAGAAUGAACACAUGGCCAAUUUGCACACCACAAAUGACAUGUAGUAAAGCCCCACCCUCCUUGGCUUCACUAGUUUGUUCCACAGCUGCUGCCUUAAGAGAUCAUGCCUGAAUCAAAAUGAGUACAAUCUAACAAGAUAAUGAAAAUAUUGUUAUCAGUCCCACUUUACAGAUGAGUGGCUAAAGCAUGGAAAGAUCCAUAGACUUUCCAAGGUCCCACAGGAUGUCUUCUGAGUCUGGGAGUUGAUUUCUUGAGUGCUAGUCCACCAUUAGGUUAGUCAUCCUACGAUCCUCUCCAUGAUAGGUAGGGUGUGCUUUCAUAAGCAAGAAGAAUAUAGGUAUUGCCUAGCCUUGUUGAGUGACUCAGUCUCAAGCUACAGUGUUUGGCCUCUGCUAAGUUCAGCACUUCAAGUCAGCUCUCACACUGUGCUUGCUUUCUUCUCCUCCUUUUUGUUUUCUGAGCCACCUGCACGCAGAGAGAUACUAUUCCCAGGGCAUUUUGUCUAAAGCAGUGCCAUGGGGAGCAAAAGAAAACCUUUCUCCCUGAAUGUCUCAGAAGAAAUGGUGGCUUUACAUACCCAGUGGUCUUGCCCAACAAUCUAAACUGGUUAUGAAAACCAUAAGAUCUUCCAUGAAACUUUGCUCAUUUUGAGAAACAAACCCAAACCGAACUCGUUAAAAAAAAUGGAUUUCAAAACUCCUAGUCGUUGUUUUCUUUGUUUUUCAUCAUCGUCCUUUUAUCAUGCAUCUCAGGUGUUGCACUUUUGGGCCCCAACCAGCACUGAAGGGUGUCAAGAUACCGCUGGAAAAAUUGCCCUCAUAAAAAUUCUUGCCAUGCCCUUGAGCACUGGAAGGAGAUCCUCACCUUCACUAGGAGAUACACAGAUUGGUGUCUGCAAACAGUAAACGUGGAGCACUUCAGAGAAAUGUCUGAACAUCUAGCUAACCCUUGACCUCUGAGCUGUGCCGGUAUGCCUGUCCAACAUGGGGAGAAGCCCGGUCUGGCCAUAUAUAAGUGUUCUAGGGUGAACACAAGACCCUACCUUAUCUGAAUGGUCAUUCAGCAGAAGCCCAGCAGUCGCUUUCUUGAAGAGCAUCUAACCUAGGCCUACCACUAGAUUUUUGUAGUCCCUUCAAAUGCAAGCUGAGUGCAGCAGUAAAUAGUAUGGCUCAUGCUGUAAAGAGGUGAGAAAUGUAUAUCAAACCCAGUGGAUCCCAUGAGCCCCUCAAAACUAUCCUGCCAUGGGAUAGUCAGCAAGCUGGGCCUUUGCUCAGCCUCUCCUUCUUGGCUCUGCCACUGUAGUGAAGUAUACUUUUAAAAGGGCCUAUGAGUGGGCCUAUGAGCAGUGGAGCUAUAGCAUGGAAAAAAAUGUGCCCUGGGCAGCUCUCUUUCACCCUUCACCACUUGUCUCUGCCUACCUUCUUGCUCCCAGGCUCAGGAAGAGCAGCAAGCAGGGCGCCAUGCAGUACAAGGCACUCUGGGAUACGCAGUCCUUCAGACUGGCAGUGGAAUUUGCUGCUGUGUGGAAAUUGCAACCCACUUUUUUGCUGUUGAAGCCCAUGUCCAGAGGUAAAAAAAAAGUGCUGAAUUGAGUACAAAAAUGUAGUGGUCAGUUCCCCAUGCCCCGCCUCCCGGCAACCACCCACUAUACCCCGGCAGCAGCAAAUUUCACUGCUGCUCUGCAAAGCUACUAUUCUCAAAAAUGCUUUGUGUUCUGUGACACACAGGUCAUGUCUACACAUGCUUUUCUGUGCGCCUAAAUUUAACGAGCAUUUGCUUAAUGCGCAUUAAGGUGAUUUAGGCCCAUGCCUACACGUGCACGUGCUGAGGUGCAUUAACGUGGUGUGCGGACUGAUUUGGGACUCAAGUCAGUCCCAAGUCAAUCGACACACAGUGUUAAUGUGGCUUAGCGCAUCUAUAUAUGCAUUAAGGCGCUUUAGCGAUUCACGCCUAAAUUUGAUACUUGCUUUUGCAGGUAUCAAAUUUGUGUGUGAAUAGCCUACAAUCUCCAUUUUUAAAUCGCAUUAAAGGUGCACGCAUGUAGACGUGCACUCUCAAUGCACCUUAAAUUGGGCUAAAGCACCUUAAAUUGGCAUGUGGAGACGUACCCACACUGCCUUUGCCAGCAAGGAGUGUCCUAGAGGUAGGUAACUCCCCCUCAGCCCCUGUCCCAGCACCCUUCCCUUAAGCAGUGACUGGGGCACAUACCUCACUCGCCCAACCCAUGUUACAUUACUGAAGCUACUGACAAAUGGUACACACCAGGGUAUGCUGUCAAGUGGAACUGGAGAUGGUGUCUGGCCAGUGACCUGUGUGUGUCAGCUAUGCCAAGAGUUGUGUUUGGAACAGCCUGUCUUGAAUCAGAGCUCUCAGUUAUGUCUCUGGGCCCACAACCAAACCUUUAGUGAAUACAGGCAGGAUUGUACCCUCUAGUUUUACCCACUUCAGGCACACAGAAUCGGCUGUGGAUUGUGCCUACUAUAACAGUAAGUGGUAAACUGAGUGGUGCAUGCAGUGACACCUAAUGAUGCGCUCAUGUGCAGCUCCACAUGUCUUUGUUCUAGAGCUAAGUUCAGUUCAAUGCAUCUUGCACUUUCUGUAUGACAAUCCUGUAGCAGAACCUGACCAAUGUGCCAUGGGUUGAACCUUGCGCAUUUUUCAUUUGGAUGUUCUGAUUUUGCCAUUUUCUUCCUUUUGCCUUUUGUGUGUGUGUGGGGGGGGUCAUCCUUGUGAAGAAUGAAUGUGUGAUAUGAACUUUACUGUGUCUAUCAGUAAUUUAAGUAAUCCGGGCCGCUGUGGACGCCUGUUUCAAUGAACCUGACCACAGGACAGGAGUCUCCCAAUGUCAUUAUGUACCUGUAUAAUCUGUAAAAACAAGCCUUUGUGUCUUCAUUUGCUCUCCUGACUUCUUGUCUUUACAGUGGCAAUACAACAUGCUGCAACUCUGAAAAGAGCUGUGCCAUGCUGAUGUGUGUAAAGCUAUAUUUUGGCUUUUGACGGGGUCACCAUAUGAAUUUAUCAGCCCUUUGAGUCUAAUAUUAACACUUUUUUGUCACAAUUGGUAAUGGGAUCUGGGUCAUUGAAUUUUGUUAUGAAGUGAAAACACACAGCUGUCAGCUGCUGCUUACUAGACUAAUCUUGAUUUUGUGUUCUGAAAAACAGUACUGGAUUUUAAUAUGUAUACUGCUGGAAAUGACACAAUAAAUGUAUUCUCAUUUU